GGAGAGUUGGCAGAGUGGUCGAAUGCGGCGGUCUUGAAAACCGUUGUGUCGAAAGGCACCGGGGGUUCGAAUCCCUCACUCUCCGCCA
This 88-nucleotide transfer RNA is filed under the name Candidatus Marinamargulisbacteria bacterium. RNAcentral describes it as "tRNA-Ser". It matches the Rfam family "tRNA". From Rfam's summary of the family: Transfer RNA (tRNA) molecules are approximately 80 nucleotides in length. Their secondary structure includes four short double-helical elements and three loops (D, anti-codon, and T loops). The record is from RNAcentral. Lineage: Bacteria; Bacillati; Candidatus Margulisiibacteriota; Candidatus Marinamargulisbacteria.